This 72-nucleotide transfer RNA is filed under the name Camelus bactrianus (Bactrian camel). It matches the Rfam family "tRNA". From Rfam's summary of the family: Transfer RNA (tRNA) molecules are approximately 80 nucleotides in length. Their secondary structure includes four short double-helical elements and three loops (D, anti-codon, and T loops). Lineage: Eukaryota; Metazoa; Chordata; Mammalia; Artiodactyla; Camelidae. RNAcentral also lists the same sequence under 1 other name. The record is from Rfam by way of RNAcentral.
GUAGGUAGAGUUCAGUGAUAGAGUACAUGCUUAGUGUGCAUGAGGUCCUGGGUUCAACCCCCAGUACCUCCA